AAUCUUUUCCCUGUCUGCAGUUGGUUCAGCAGUGGCCACAAAUGCAGAAAUCUGUCUUGAAGAUUACUGAAGAGAGGAUGACAUGGUGGUAUCAACUUAGAUAAAGCAAAGGAAAGGCUUCAAGAAGAGGACAAAUUUGACAAAGAAGAGUAUAGAAAGAAAAUAAAGGCAAAGCAUCGGGAGAAAAGAUUGAAAGAAAGGGAAGCCAGGAGAGAAGCCAGUAAGAAACAUGCAAAGGCCAAAGAUGAAGAAGAGGCCUUUCUGGAUUGGAGUAAUGAUGAUGAUGAUGAUGGGUUUGAUCCGAGCACACUUCCAGAUCCAGAUAAGCACAGAAGCUCUGAAGAAUCAGAUAGUGAAGAUGUGGAAAAUAAAAUUAGUGAUACCAAGAAGAAGCAGGGAAUGAGGAAAAGGAACAACAGUGAAUUGGAAGACACAGGACUCACAAGUCGUAACAAAAAGAAGGCCAAGUGGGAAAUCAUAGAGCCGUUGGAUACGGGCCUGUCUUUAGCAGAGGAUGAAGAGCUGGUGCUACAUCUGCUCAAAAGUCAAAGCUAAAUACUUCCUGCUGCUGUCAUCUCCUUAAAACCUCUGGUCACGGUUAUGUGGACAAAAAGUUGAAAAAGCAGUAGGCUUUGGGGAACUUAGAUAACGUGAGUUCCAAAAUAUCUGUAAUCUUCUUUCACAGGAUGUGCUUGUGCCAUCCCAGUGCAAACUCAGAGUGAGGGUGGAUUAUAAAAUUUCUUGUUCCCAUUUUUCAGCUGUGCUGUUUUAAAUUUUUAUCCUUGGGUUCCUACAUCUUGACACUAGAAGUGCUUUCUUUGUUUUAAUAGUAAGUUCUAGAGACCAUGUUUCAUUGCUAGGAAUUUCUUGCUUAUGUUACAUAAGUAUAUGUGUGCUAAUAAGUGAAAUUGCUCACAAUUUUGUUUAUUUAAUGUCUUUAAAGAGACAAUAUGAUGGACCAGCCCUAAGAAAGAAUGAAUAUUUUUGAAUUGAGAUGAUUAAUAAUAAACAUAUUUCCUAUAAAAUUA
This is a long non-coding RNA of Phyllostomus discolor (pale spear-nosed bat), 1028 nucleotides long. RefSeq lists it as uncharacterized. The record is from RefSeq and is a predicted model, not a curated record. NCBI's taxonomy places the organism in Eukaryota, Metazoa, Chordata, Mammalia, Chiroptera, Phyllostomidae. The transcript has 4 exons.